GCUCCUAAAGGAUAAUAGCUCAUCCACUGGUCUUAGGAACCAAAAACUCUUGGUGCAA
This 58-nucleotide transfer RNA is filed under the name Dicrossus filamentosus (checkerboard dwarf cichlid). Its description in RNAcentral is "tRNA-Leu". The record is from RNAcentral. Lineage: Eukaryota; Metazoa; Chordata; Actinopteri; Cichliformes; Cichlidae.